UGGCUACAAAAUAAUUUAUUUUGUAGCCACUUUGAGUUACGAUAAUUACUAUAUUAAUUUACAAGAUUAUAGGAACUCCUUACUAAGUGGUUUACUAUAACAUUACGGUAAAUAUUCCCAUAUGUUAUAUUAACCUAACUAUCGUAAAUAUGUAUACAUAUUAUCGUAAAUUAGUAUAUAAAAUUAUCGUAAAUGGAGGUGACUACAAAAUAACAUAUUUUGUAGCUA
This is a microRNA precursor of Sorghum bicolor (sorghum), 228 nucleotides long. It matches the Rfam family "MIR6217 microRNA precursor family". The record is from Rfam. Lineage: Eukaryota; Viridiplantae; Streptophyta; Magnoliopsida; Poales; Poaceae.